This 79-nucleotide transfer RNA is filed under the name Agromyces mediolanus. Its description in RNAcentral is "tRNA-Arg". The record is from RNAcentral. Lineage: Bacteria; Bacillati; Actinomycetota; Actinomycetes; Micrococcales; Microbacteriaceae.
UCCCGAGCGGGGCGCGCGAGGGCGCACCGCGGCCACCACGGAUGGCGGGCAUGUCGGGUUCGGGUUCCCGACUCGGGUU